RNAcentral lists this long non-coding RNA (210 nucleotides) under Mytilus galloprovincialis (Mediterranean mussel). Lineage: Eukaryota; Metazoa; Mollusca; Bivalvia; Mytilida; Mytilidae. The record is from RNAcentral.
AUUCUUUCUCUUAAAAUAAGAUGUUGAUUUCGACAUUUACAAUUCUAUACAAUUUUCUCAAAUUAAUGCGAAAUCAAAUUUCAUCUUAGGCAAGCGGAAAAUACAUCACAUCUUAUCAUAAAGAAAAUUGUGUAUGCAUACAAAAUCAUUACAUGUACGUGAAAUGGUUCAAUUCUCCAAUUUUAACAGUUACCUUCUUCUUAGUAAUAG